Molecule: long non-coding RNA, 757 nt
Filed under: Sorghum bicolor (sorghum)
Lineage: Eukaryota; Viridiplantae; Streptophyta; Magnoliopsida; Poales; Poaceae
Description: long non-coding RNA (SBIC_LNC006724)
Source: RNAcentral
ACGAUUCAGGUACAUACUCUGCACACUUUAUACAUACAUAUAUAUCUUAGAUUAUGCAGAAUAUUGUCUCCGACAUGAUAAAUUAAAAUGUCUCUAAUCAUGAUUAAUCUCACUCUAUGAUAUUUCCUGAAACUUGCAAUUAUUGAUAAAAUCAUUUGAAAACCCGGUGUUACUUAAGUCAUUGUGGAAUGUGAGAUGGUAGAGUAUGAGUUUCUUAUUCUUGAUAUCAUUGUUGCUUGGAGAAUUUAUUCAAAAAUUUUAGCUACCAUCCUCAGUGUUUUAUAUGCCUGAUAAACCUAAAAAUAUUAAUAUUAUAAAAGCUAUCUACUCUGUAUUGAGUUUGUUCAAAAUGAGUUAGACCCUUGUUGAGAGAUUUAUCAUACUCCUAAGAUCAAGACAUCUAUUCAGAAAGAUUCACUCUUCCAAAGUAUUAUUGCAUUAGAGGCAUGGGCUAUGCAAAAGUAUGAAUAUUUCGAGGAAAUAAAAAGGAGCAAGUGCUCGACAACCUCGCAGAAAAAAUGGACAAGUGUCCGGCAGUAGAAUUAGGGGUACCUCGGUAUCCACCUAAAAAAAGAGAAAAAAGAAAAUGAUAGCCCAUGGUCCGUCUAAUAAGAAAUAUGCCAAUAAGAGUUGACAAGUUUUUAAUUUCCAAAAUUUUUGAUCUAAGAGUAUGGCAUUCCUCUCCUCGGAUCCUGUUUUGAUCAGGCAAUAAAUGCAAAGUAAGUAUGCUUGAGAAUUUUUGCAAAUUAAAACAGCC